CCUACGGGAGGCUGCAGUGAGGAAUAUUUGUCAAUGGACGAGAGUCUGAACCAGCCAAGUAGCGUGAAUGAUGACUGCCCUAUGGGUUGUAAACUUCUUUUAUAUGGGAAUAAAAUGUUCCACGUGUGUGAUUUUGUAUGUACCAUAUGAAUAAGGAUCGGCUAACUCCGUGCCAUCAGCCGCGGUAAUACGGAGGAUCCGAGCGUUAUCCGGAUUUAUUGGGUUUAAAGGGAGCGUAGGUGGAUUGUUAAGUCAGUUGUGAAAGUUUGCGGCUCAACCGUAAAAUUGCAGUUGAAACUGGCAGUCUUGAGUACAGUAGAGGUGAGCGGAAUUCGUGGUGUAGCGGUGAAAUGCUUAGAUAGAACGAAGAACUCCGAUUGCGAAGGCAGCUCACUGGACUGCAACUGACACUGAGGCUCGAAAGUGUGGGUAUCAAACAGGAUUAGAUACCCUUGUAGUC
Molecule: ribosomal RNA, 460 nt
Filed under: uncultured bacterium
Lineage: Bacteria
Description: partial 16S ribosomal RNA
Rfam family: Bacterial small subunit ribosomal RNA
Source: RNAcentral